CGGUGGCAUGGAGGAUGAUGAAGGUGAUGAAGGCCCGGAGCUCAUGGAUCCCGAGGCAGCCAAACGCCUGCCUAAAGAGAUUGAAGAGAAGGAGAAGCAGAUAGCCACCGCCUCCGAGAACCUGCAGGAUU
Molecule: non-coding RNA, 131 nt
Filed under: Karenia brevis
Lineage: Eukaryota; Dinophyceae; Gymnodiniales; Kareniaceae
Source: RNAcentral